RNAcentral lists this small RNA (1842 nucleotides) under Pan troglodytes (chimpanzee). RNAcentral describes it as "retained intron". Lineage: Eukaryota; Metazoa; Chordata; Mammalia; Primates; Hominidae. The record is from RNAcentral.
GACAAUCCCCAGAGCCCCGCGGCCCGGCCUCGGGGCAGCCAUGGACUCGCAGGAAUUGAAGACUUUGAUUAAUUACUAUUGUCAAGAGAGAUAUUUCCAUCAUGUAUUACUGGUUGCCAGUGAAGGAAUUAAGAGGUAUGGAAGUGAUCCAGUCUUCAGGUUUUAUCAUGCCUAUGGCGCAUUAAUGGAAGGUAAAACUCAAGAAGCUCUUCGAGAAUUUGAGGCUAUUAAAAAUAAACAAGAUGUAUCACUUUGUUCUCUACUUGCACUGAUAUAUGCCCAUAAAAUGAGUCCUAAUCCAGAUAGAGAAGCUAUUCUGGAAUCAGAUGCCAGAGUGAAGGAACAACGUAAAGGAGCUGGAGAGAAAGCCUUAUACCAUGCAGGCUUAUUUUUAUGGCACAUUGGUCGCCAUGAUAAAGCAAGGGAAUAUAUUGACAGAAUGAUCAAAAUAUCAGAUGGUAGUAAACAGGGACACGUUUUGAAAGCAUGGCUUGAUAUUACAAGAGGAAAAGAGCCUUACACUAAAAAAGCACUGAAGUAUUUUGAAGAGGGACUCCAAGAUGGGAAUGAUACUUUUGCUCUGCUGGGUAAAGCACAAUGCCUUGAGAUGCGCCAGAAUUAUUCAGGUGCCCUGGAGACUGUGAACCAGAUAAUCGUGAACUUUCCGAGCUUCCUUCCUGCUUUUCUUAAGAAAAUGAAAUUACAACUAGCCUUGCAGGAUUGGGACCAGACAGUUGAGACAGCACAAAGGUUGCUGCUCCAAGAUAGCCAAAAUGUGGAAGCACUGAGAAUGCAGGCACUCUACUAUGUGUGUAGAGAGGGGGAUAUAGAGAAGGCUUCCACCAAGCUGGAAAACUUGGGAAAUGCAUUGGAUGCCAUGGAACCACAGAAUGCUCAACUUUUCUAUAACAUUACACUCGCCUUCAGCAGAACUUGUGGACGUAGUCAACUUAUUCUUCAAAAAAUUCAAACAUUACUUGAGAGAGCUUUUAGUUUAAACCCUCAGCAAUCAGAAUUUGCUACAGAACUUGGAUACCAAAUGAUUUUACAAGGAAGAGUUAAAGAGGCACUGAAGUGGUAUAAGACCGCCAUGACACUUGAUGAGACUAGUGUGUCUGCCCUAGUUGGAUUUAUCCAAUGUCAGUUGAUAGAAGGGCAAUUACAGGAUGCAGAUCAGCAGCUAGAAUUUUUAAAUGAAAUCCAGCAAUCCAUUGGAAAAUCUGCGGAAUUAAUCUAUUUACAUGCAGUUCUUGCCAUGAAGAAAAAUAAACGACAAGAAGAAGUUAUUAAUUUGUUAAAUGAUGUCCUGGACACUCACUUUUCACAAUUAGAAGGUUUGCCUCUUGGCAUACAGUAUUUUGAAAAGCUAAAUCCUGAUUUCUUGUUAGAAAUUGUUAUGGAGUAUCUGAGCUUCUGUCCAAUGCAGGUAAGUAAUUAUGGGACUUACUUUCAAGGAUGCGUUUACUUGAUGUUUUAUGAAAGAACUUAAGUUUUCUGUGAUGCAUUAGACUAUAUUGGCAUCUUAAAAUGGUAGUAUUUGUACCUAUGUUAGUUGAAAUCACUUUUAAUCAGACUGUUUUUAGUAAUGACUGCUGUCAACUACUGAAAGUAUUGGUUUGCAAAUAUUCAUUUGUAUUUCAUAAAAUCUUAAAAUCUUCAGUUUAAAGAAAUAUUAAAAGGCAUCUAAUUCAGACACCUACCUUAUAUUUGCUACCAGUCUGUAACAUCACUGUCAAUGUCUAUCCCAUGUCCGGACACACUAAAAUGAAGUUCUUGUCAUAUAACUAUGAUUGUUAGCCUGUGUUUCCUGUGUUAAGUCAAACUCUGCUUUUGGUUAAAAAA